GAUGAACGCUAGCUACAGGCUUAACACAUGCAAGUCGAGGGGAAACGACAUCGAAAGCUUGCUUUUGAUGGGCGUCGACCGGCGCACGGGUGAGUAACGCGUAUCCAACCUGCCCAUCACUUGGGGAUAACCUUGCGAAAGUAAGACUAAUACCCAAUGACGUCUCUAGAAGACAUCUGAAGGAGAUUAAAGAUUUAUCGGUGAUGGAUGGGGAUGCGUCUGAUUAGCUUGUUGGCGGGGUAACGGCCCACCAAGGCGACGAUCAGUAGGGGUUCUGAGAGGAAGGUCCCCCACAUUGGAACUGAGACACGGUCCAAACUCCUACGGGAGGCAGCAGUGAGGAAUAUUGCACAAUGGGGGAAACCCUGAUGCAGCGACGCCGCGUGGAGGAAGAAGGUCUUCGGAUUGUAAACUCCUGUUGUUGGGGAAGAUAAUGACGGUACCCAACAAGGAAGUGACGGCUAACUACGUG
Molecule: ribosomal RNA, 472 nt
Filed under: uncultured bacterium
Lineage: Bacteria
Description: bacterial SSU rRNA
Rfam family: Bacterial small subunit ribosomal RNA
Source: RNAcentral